GACGAACGCUGGCGGCGUGCUUAACACAUGCCAGUCGAACGGAAAGGCCCUGCUUUUGUGGGGUGCUCGAGUGGCGAACGGGUGAGUAACACGUGAGUAACCUGCCCUUGACUUUGGGAUAACUUCAGGAAACUGGGGCUAAUACCGGAUAGGAGCUCCUGCUGCAUGGUGGGGGUUGGAAAGUUUCGGCGGUUGGGGAUGGACUCGCGGCUUAUCAGCUUGUUGGUGGGGUAGUGGCUUACCAAGGCUUUGACGGGUAGCCGGCCUGAGAGGGUGACCGGCCACAUUGGGACUGAGAUACGGCCCAGACUCCUACGGGAGGCAGCAGGGGGGAAUAUUGCACAGUGGGCGGAAGCCUGAUGCAGCAACGCCGCGUUCGGGAUGACGGCCUUCGGGUUGUAAACCGCUUUCGCCUGUGACGAAGCGUGAGUGACGGUAAUGGGUAAAGAAGCACCGGCUAACUACGUG
This 468-nucleotide ribosomal RNA is filed under the name uncultured bacterium. Its description in RNAcentral is "partial 16S ribosomal RNA". It matches the Rfam family "Bacterial small subunit ribosomal RNA", at positions 28 to 507 of the family's 1533-position model. The record is from RNAcentral.